RNAcentral lists this ribosomal RNA (253 nucleotides) under uncultured bacterium. RNAcentral's name for it is "partial 16S ribosomal RNA". It matches the Rfam family "Bacterial small subunit ribosomal RNA", at positions 524 to 776 of the family's 1533-position model. The record is from RNAcentral.
UACGUAGGUGGCAAGCGUUGUCCGGAUUUACUGGGUGUAAAGGGCGUGUAGGCGGAGCUGCAAGUCAGAUGUGAAAUCCCGGGGCUCAACCCCGGAACUGCAUUUGAAACUGUAGCCCUUGAGUAUCGGAGAGGCAGGCGGAAUUCCUAGUGUAGCGGUGAAAUGCGUAGAUAUUAGGAGGAACACCAGUGGCGAAGGCGGCCUGCUGGACUGCGACUGACGUUGAGGCUCGAAAGCGUGGGGAGCGAACAGG